UAUUUUUUNGUCAAGCGGUUAAGACACCGCCCUUUCACGGCGGUAACACGGGUUCGAAUCCCGUACGGGUCA
Molecule: transfer RNA, 72 nt
Filed under: Exiguobacterium sp. Leaf187
Lineage: Bacteria; Bacillati; Bacillota; Bacilli; Caryophanales
Description: tRNA-Glu
Rfam family: tRNA (bases 7-65)
About the family: Transfer RNA (tRNA) molecules are approximately 80 nucleotides in length. Their secondary structure includes four short double-helical elements and three loops (D, anti-codon, and T loops).
Source: RNAcentral